Molecule: long non-coding RNA, 2271 nt
Filed under: Canis lupus familiaris (dog)
Lineage: Eukaryota; Metazoa; Chordata; Mammalia; Carnivora; Canidae
Description: lncRNA (ENSCAFG00040023605.1)
Source: RNAcentral
CAAAAUGUGUGUCCAGAUCUGGGGUGACUCAUGAGCCCAGCACUAUGAAUUUACAUGUUCCUGAUCACACAACAACUAACACCAUUGGGUACUUACUGCCCAAAGCACUUAAUAUAUAAUCAAAUAUAUGAAUCUCAUUUAAUAUAUACUGUUUUACAUUCUAUUUUUUCCAUUAGUUUUCCAUGGUGAAGAUUUCCUCAUCUCAUUCAAUAUUCUUCAAAAGCAUUUUUCACUGGUAACAGCAUAUUCCAUAAUCUAGAUGUAUAGCAAUUUAUUUCACUUUCCCGUAUCAUUGAACACAUUAGUUGUUUGUAAUUUUCUGCUUUCAUAAGUCAUUCAAUGUGUAUUAGCCAGAUUUGUCUAGUCUAUGUUGUUAAAACAAACACCCCUUAAAUCUCGGUGGCUUAAAAUAACAGAUUUAUUUUUUACUCACGUAGGGGGUUACCAAGGGAUCUCUGCACAUCAUAGUCACGUAGACACCAAGUCUAACAGAGAAGCAUCAUCUCGAAUGUCAUUGGUCACUGUGCCAGAAGGAAAAGAUAACUCUGGAGAGAUUUAUGCUGGCAAUUAAAUGCAUCCUGAAGGUGACACAUACCACUUCUGAACUCAUAGGUAAAAUCUAUUUGCAAGGCCCCACCCGAUCAUAAAGGAGCCAGAAGGGAAAAAGAACAAGAUAUGGCAAGUAUUCCUCAGUGUGACAUCAUUACAAAUGUUCUUGUACCUAAAUCUUUUUGUGUUUUUCUACUUAUUGUUGCUACUUAAUGUGUUUUGCUACAAAUUGUUGUAAGAGACAGUAUAAACAUUUUUAUGUUAUUGAUGCAUGCCCUGGAGUUUUAUAUUUUAUGCUCUCCUCUGUACAGGGCCAUAGGAUCCUGCGAACUACAUUUCCCAGAUUCCUUUGCCUGCUGGGUAGAAGCCGUUUAUUUGUUGUUGCAUCUGGCUCCAUCAGCAAUCAUGAGAGCCAACUGCAAGUGAUUAUGGUCUCAAACAGCAGAAAGUCCAGAAACAACCAACAGGAUGUCAUCUUCUGCUCAGGAUAGUAAAGGGCUGCACAAAGGGCAGAGAGGAUGAUUCAGAGCCACUGCAAUGAAGUGAGAUUCUCUCCACAGAAUCAAUGGCAGCUCUGCUCUCAGUGGCCAAUGAGCCCUGCCCACAAUUCCAGUGGAAAGUGGUCCAUGAAAUCGCUCUCCUGUGGGUAUUGCUGUGAUGUGAGAAGUAACGGCCAGAAACUCAAACCUCCAGUCCCAACUUUAUGAUCCUCCUUCUUUACCAGGGCAGCCACUUCCUUCAUCUCUAUAUUCUGGGCUCCUGUCUUGAAAAAUAGUUUUUGAUUAGUAUACAGAGACUUCUAUGGGCACUACCUCACACCUCAAAUUAUGCUCAACAUUUUUAGUGAAUAUCCUUUCUGUUGUCCUUGCAGGUGGCUUAAAGAGAUGAAAUUAUGUGUUGGAUGGAUAAGUAUCAAUAAUUUAUAAAGAAUUCUACUCAAUAUUUCACUGAAAGAUGUCAUUUUUUUUUCUAUUGGUUUCUGUCUUUGCUUUUAUGCUUAGAAGACAUUUUUCCAUCUCAAGAUCAAAAAAAUCAUUGAUCUUUCUUUUCUGUUUGUUUGGACAUAAUAGUUUACCAUGAACAGUGAAUAAUGGUUGGGCUCUUGAAAAAUCUUACAGCAAAGAGCAGUAGUUGGUAUGCAAAUAAAAUAAAAUAAAAUAAAAAUAAUAAUAAUGUAUUUGCCUUUCCUUUUUUUUUUCUUAAGAUUUUAUUUAUUUAUUCAUGAGAGACACACAGAGAGAGAGAGGCGGAGACACCUCCCACUGAGCCACCCAGGUAUCCUGGUAUUUGCCUUUUCUUUCAUUUCUAAAGAUUUUUUUUUUCAUUAUGAAAAACAUAAUUUUCCAAUAGCCUGUUCCACUUCAUUUCUUUCCUAGAGACUGUUUUAUGGGCUCAGGAAGAAAAGGGAGUACUGGACAGGAUGCCCAUGACUUCACACUUCUCCAAAGCAAAUUCUGUCUCUUCCUCAUUAUAGUAAUAGCCUCACAGAUGGAUCCCUCUAGUUCAGAGGCUGGCAUACUUUACCUGUAUAAGGCAGAUGGUCAUCUUUUAGGCUUUACCAGUCUGUGGAAACUACUCCAUUCUGCUGUUGUAGUGUGAAGCAGUCAUAGCAAUAUGUAAACGAACGAGCGUCUUCCAGUAAAACCUCACAGGAACUACAAGCUGUCAACUCCUACCUCCACACUGUGGAAGAGGGUAACCUGGUAUGUAUGAUUAAUGGAC